RNAcentral lists this long non-coding RNA (647 nucleotides) under Elaeis guineensis (African oil palm). RNAcentral's name for it is "long non-coding RNA (EGUI_LNC077459)". The record is from RNAcentral. Lineage: Eukaryota; Viridiplantae; Streptophyta; Magnoliopsida; Arecales; Arecaceae.
CUCCCACUGACUCAGGGGACAGUCCUGGAUCCAAGAAACAAGCUCCUUCUCUAUGUCCCUAUGGUGCUCUAGCCAUCUUUUGUAAAGCUUGACCUUAUAGUUCCGGUACAACUUCUCAAUCUUCUGCAGUCAGACAUCUCGAGUCCUCUCAUGAUCUAGGAAGUCGUACAUCCUUUGCACAAAGUUAUCAGAAGUUAGUUACGAAAUUAUUCUAAUUAAAUAUAGUGCAAACAUAUCACAUGCAUACAUACAUACAUACAUACAUACAUACAUAUAUAUAUAUAUAUAUAUUUAAGAUACACUUAUCCAAAUCUCCUUUCACAUCCGAUCUUUGACACUAGUGUCCAUCAAUCGCCAGUCUAUGAGCAGUACAGGAAUGAUGUCUGACAGCCUCACAAGUACGUUAAAAAAGAAAUACAUCUCCCGUGCGGUUUUCUCUCCUGACCUUCCUUCCUGAUCGUACUCCACUAUGACUUGAUGUUGGCGGUUCCACACAUGCGGCAUGCAUGUGGGAUCGCAAAAUAUCCUAUUAGAUGAUACACCUAUAAUAAAAAUAUAUUACAAAUAUUAGAGCUAUCAAGACGGAUUGGUCCAUCCCAAUCUGACCCACCCCGUCCCACCCCGACCCGCCUCUAAAUGGGUCGGGG